CCAAAGGCUCUUUUCAGAGCCACCACUUGAUCCCCAAAAGAGCUGG
Regulatory RNA element from Anolis carolinensis (green anole), 46 nucleotides. It matches the Rfam family "Histone 3' UTR stem-loop". From Rfam's summary of the family: The mRNAs of metazoan histone genes lack a poly-A tail. The record is from Rfam. NCBI's taxonomy places the organism in Eukaryota, Metazoa, Chordata, Lepidosauria, Squamata, Anolidae.